This 860-nucleotide long non-coding RNA is filed under the name Gallus gallus (chicken). Its description in RNAcentral is "lncRNA (ENSGALG00010028949.1)". The record is from RNAcentral. Lineage: Eukaryota; Metazoa; Chordata; Aves; Galliformes; Phasianidae.
GGCCUGGAACCCCGAGCAUCCAGCUCUGCUCGCAGUGCCCCCCAAGGCUGAGGUUUCAGUCUGCAGUCUGCUGAUCCGAAAGAAAGAAGGCGGCUUUUGGAGGACAUAAUCAUUGCAAGUCGAGCUGCUGCUGAACCUCCCCUUCCAACAUCCAGCAGGUUUGUUCUGCAGGCCCCGAUGAUGGCACAGGCAUGAAAGAGCCCAGAGCUCGUCGCUGGGGAGAGGCUGCGUAUGGCGUUGUGAAGGGAGAGAUGGAGGAGGGGUUUGAGCAGCGCUGUGCAAGAAUGAACGGCUGGCAGGAGUCGGGCAGCGGUACUGCAGCUCCUCUGGCAGCUUUGCAGCUCAGUAGGGAAGCAGAAGAUGUGGAUGUGAAAGAAGAAGUCCGUUGCUGGGACGUUCCCCUGUUCUUCCCCCAGCUGUCCCCUUGCCUCAGCCUGGAUUCCCCUUGUGUUCCUGUAGGAUUCCCUUCCAUCCCCCUGGCUGCCCCUUGCUUUCCCCAAGGCUGCCCUUUCCUUUCUCAUGACAGCCCACCCAUCAUUCCCUCAGAGCCCCAAUGUCCCCCCCAGUGUUUCCCAGCAAGACCCCUUGAGACACCCUAUAGCCCCCCACAGAGCCCUGGAGCCCCUCGAGGACCCCCUCAGACCCAGUACACCUCCCCCGUAGCUGGCCCAUACCCACAUGGAGCCCCACAGUCCCCAGCAGCACCCCAUGUGCCCCACUGGGCUUCCCCGGAAUCCUCCUAUUUCCUCCCUCAGACCUCCUUUACACCUCCAAGAUCCCCCCUGGGAACUCGCUGACCCCCAUGUUCUUUGACAGUACCUCCAUCACCAUCCAGUGAACCCCAUAGCCCACCUUUGGCC